UCGAUACGGAGCAUUAAGCGGUCGGGGGUCAAGGAUGAGGGACGCGUGACAGGGUUGGUUCCGCGUUGAAUUCUAUUCCUGUUGCAGACGCCAUUCGCCACGGGACUCGGUUAAGCUCGUCGAUGAUCCCGUUCGUCUUAAUCCGAAGCAUCGUGUCAGAGGGUUGAAGAGAACGUGACGGUGUAACCGAACGAGCGAGCGUGAAAAAUCCGCGAGGAAUCCGCCCGGACGAACGAAGGCUUAUCCGAUCGCGGAAGAACCAGCAGCAGGAGACAUCGAGAGGGGAUCGUGCCGGGCGAUGAUGAAUUACCGGAGGAACCAUCCAUCAUUGUCAUAAACAGCGCGAAGAUCGCCGUUUCGGGGAGCAACCCCGAGCUGCAGGCGGCCCCUUGCUAAGAUAAUUACCGGCACCUUCCAAUAAUAACCUCAGAACGCCGGUGCUGUCAGUCUGCAGUAUCAUCUAUCUCAAGAAUACGUUUGAAUAACAACCGAGAGAAAAGCAACGUAAUCUUCAGUUCUGCGAAAAAAGAUCAUCAAGGACACUAGGAUGAUUCUACGAUUCUAGACUCUACGAUGUUUUUACGAAGUUUUUCUACCAAUAGAACUUCAGCUGUUUCUCUCUUCGCAGUCAUUGGAAUCGCGCGAGAGCUUUCGCAAAAAUUAAUACAACGUUUUAAUAACAAAAGUUUGGUAAUUGUAAAAAUAAAAGUUGGAAUAGCGUUAAA
Molecule: long non-coding RNA, 725 nt
Organism: Bombus terrestris (buff-tailed bumblebee)
Lineage: Eukaryota; Metazoa; Arthropoda; Insecta; Hymenoptera; Apidae
Exons: 2
Source: RefSeq, a predicted model, not a curated record